GAUGAACGCUGGCGGCGUGCCUAAUACAUGCAAGUCGAGCGAACAGACGAGGAGCUUGCUCCUCUGACGUUAGCGGCGGACGGGUGAGUAACACGUGGAUAACCUACCUAUAAGACUGGGAUAACUUCGGGAAACCGGAGCUAAUACCGGAUAAUAUAUUGAACCGCAUGGUUCAAUAGUGAAAGACGGUUUUGCUGUCACUUAUAGAUGGAUCCGCGCCGCAUUAGCUAGUUGGUAAGGUAACGGCUUACCAAGGCAACGAUGCGUAGCCGACCUGAGAGUGUGGUCGGCCACACUGGAACUGAGACACGGUCCAGACUCCGACGGGAGGCAGCAGUAGGGAAUCUUCCGCAAGGGGCGAAAGCCUGACGGAGCAACGCCGCGUGAGUGAUGAAGGUCUUCGGAUCGGAAAACUCUGUUAUUAGGGAAGAACAAAUGUGUAAGUAACUAUGCACGUCUUGACGGUACCUAAUCAGAAAGCCACGGCUAACUACGUG
This 497-nucleotide ribosomal RNA is filed under the name uncultured bacterium. Its description in RNAcentral is "partial 16S ribosomal RNA". It matches the Rfam family "Bacterial small subunit ribosomal RNA", at positions 28 to 507 of the family's 1533-position model. The record is from RNAcentral.